Molecule: ribosomal RNA, 449 nt
Filed under: uncultured bacterium
Lineage: Bacteria
Description: bacterial SSU rRNA
Rfam family: Bacterial small subunit ribosomal RNA
Source: RNAcentral
CCCAGACUCCUACGGGAGGCAGCAGUGGGGGAUAUUGCACAAUGGGGGAAACCCUGAUGCAGCGACGCCGCGUGUGGGAAGACGGUCCUCUGGAUUGUAAACCACUGUCCCCAGGGACGAAGAUGACGGUACCUGGGGAGGAAGCUCCGGCUAACUACGUGCCAGCAGCCGCGGUAAUACGUAGGGAGCGAGCGUUAUCCGGAUUCACUGGGUGUAAAGGGAGCGUAGACGGUUACGCAAGUCUGGAGUGAAAGGCGGGGGCCCAACCCCCGGACUGCUUUGGAAACUGUAUAACUGGAGUGCAGGAGAGGUAAGUGGAAUUCCUAGUGUAGCGGUGAAAUGCGUAGAUAUUAGGAGGAACACCAGUGGCGAAGGCGGCUUACUGGACUGUAACUGACGUUGAGGCUCGAAAGCGUGGGGAGCAAACAGGAUUAGAUACCCCUGUAAAU